RNAcentral lists this ribosomal RNA (547 nucleotides) under uncultured bacterium. RNAcentral describes it as "bacterial SSU rRNA". It matches the Rfam family "Bacterial small subunit ribosomal RNA", at positions 777 to 1322 of the family's 1533-position model. The record is from RNAcentral.
AAUAGAUACCCUGGUAGUCCACCCCGUAAACGUUGGGAACUAGUUGUGGGGUCCUUUCCACGGAUUCCGUGACGCGGCUAACGCAUUAAGUUCCCCGCCUGGGGAGUACGGCCGCAAGGCUAAAACUCAAAGGAAUUGACGGGGACCCGCACAAGCGGCGGAGCAUGCGGAUUAAUUCGAUGCAACGCGAAGAACCUUACCAAGGCUUGACAUACACCAGAACACCCUAGAAAUAGGGGACUCUUUGGACACUGGUGAACAGGUGGUGCAUGGUUGUCGUCAGCUCGUGUCGUGAGAUGUUGGGUUAAGUCCCGCAACGAGCGCAACCCUCGUUCUAUGUUGCCAGCACGUAAUGGUGGGAACUCAUGGGAUACUGCCGGGGUCAACUCGGAGGAAGGUGGGGAUGACGUCAAAUCAUCAUGCCCCUUAUGUCUUGGGCUUCACGCAUGCUACAAUGGCCGGUACAAAGGGCUGCAAUACCGUGAGGUGGAGCGAAUCCCAAAAAGCCGGUCCCAGUUCGGAUUGAGGUCUGCAACUCGACCUCAUG